UGGGGAAUAUUGGACAAUGGGCGCAAGCCUGAUCCAGCCAUGCCGCGUGAGUGAUGAAGGCCCUAGGGCUGUAAAGCUCUUUCACCGGUGAAGAUAAUGACGGUAACCGGAGAAGAAGCCCCGGCUAACUUCGUGCCAGCAGCCGCGGUAAUACGAAGGGGGCUAGCGUUGUUCGGAUUUACUGGGCGUAAAGCGCACGUAGGCGGACUUUUAAGUCAGGGGUGAAAUCCCGGGGCUCAACCCCGGAACUGCCUUUGAUACUGGAAGUCUUGAGUAUGGUAGAGGUGAGUGGAAUUCCGAGUGUAGAGGUGAAAUUCGUAGAUAUUCGGAGGAACACCAGUGGCGAAGGCGGCUCACUGGACCAUUACUGACGCUGAGGUGCGAAAGCGUGGGGAGCAAACAGG
Molecule: ribosomal RNA, 404 nt
Filed under: Actinomycetes bacterium
Lineage: Bacteria; Bacillati; Actinomycetota; Actinomycetes
Also listed under: 1 other name
Description: Actinobacteria bacterium partial 16S ribosomal RNA
Rfam family: Bacterial small subunit ribosomal RNA
Source: RNAcentral